Molecule: ribosomal RNA, 1475 nt
Filed under: uncultured Bordetella sp.
Lineage: Bacteria; Pseudomonadati; Pseudomonadota; Betaproteobacteria; Burkholderiales; Alcaligenaceae
Description: partial 16S-23S ribosomal RNA intergenic spacer
Rfam family: Bacterial small subunit ribosomal RNA
Source: RNAcentral
GGUUCGAUCCUGGCUCAGAUUGAACGCUGGCGGGAUGCUUUACACAUGCAAGUCGAACGGCAGCAUGGACUUCGGUCUGGUGGCGAGUGGCGAACGGGUGAGUAAUGUAUCGGAACGCCUAGUAGCGGGGAUAAAUCGCCGCGAAAGCGCAGCUAAUACCGCAUACGCCCUCUUUCGGGAAAGCGGGGACCUUCGGGCCUCGCACUAUUAGGGGCGGCCGAUAUCGGAUUAGCUAGUUGUGCAACGGCUCACCAAGGCGACGAUCCGUAGCUGGCUCUUUGAGGACGACUGCCAGCCACACUGGGACUGAGACACGGCCCAGGACUCUACGGGAGGCAGUGGGGAAUUUUGGACAAUGGGGAAACCCUGAUCCAGCCAUCCUGCGUGUGCGAUGAAGGCCUCGGGUUGUAAAAGCACCUUUGGCAGGAAGAAACGGCACGAUAACACCCCGUGCAACUGACGGUACCUGCAGAAUAAGCACCGGCUAACUACGUGCCAGCAGCCGCGGUAAUACGUAGGGUGCAGGCGUUAAUCGGAAUUACCGGGCGUAAAGCGUGCGCAGGCGGUUCGGAAAGAAAGAUGUAAAUCCUAUGAGCCGGACUUUGAACUGCAUUUUUAACUACCGAGCUAGAGUGUGUCAGAGGGAGGUGGAAUUCCGCGUGUAGCAGGAAUGCGUAGAUAUGCGGAGUAAACACCGAUGGCGAAGGCAGCCUCCCUUCGGGAUGUCAUACUGACGCUCAUGCACGAAAGCGUGGGGAGCAAACAGAUUAGGAUACCCUGGUAGUCCACGCCCUAAACGAUGUCAAUCAUUGUUGGGCCUUCGGGCCUUGUAGCAGCUAACGCGUGAAGUUGACCGCCUGGGGAGUACGGUCGCAAGAUUAAAACUCAAAGGAAUUGACGGGACCCGCACAAGCGGUGGAUGAUGUGGAUUAAUUCGAUGCAACGCGAAAACCUUACCUACCCUUGACAUGUCUGGAAUCCCGAAGAGAUUUGGGAGUGCUCGCAAGAGAACCGGAACACAGGUGCUGCAUGGCUGUGUCGUCAGCUCGUGUCGUGAGAUGUUGGGUUAAGUCCCGCAACGAGCGCAACCCUUGUCAUUAGUUGCUAACAAAGCGCACUCUAAUGAGACUGUUGCGACAAACCGAGGAAGGUGGGGAUGACGUCAAGUCCUCAUGGCCCUGGCGGUGGGCUUCACACGUCAUACAAUGGUCGGGACAGAGGGUCGCCAACCCGCGAGGGGGAGCCAAUCCCAGAAACCCGAUCGUAGUCCGGAUCGCAGUCUGCAACUCGACCGCGUGGUCGGAAUCGCCGGGGUAAUCGCGGAUCAGCAUGUCGCGGUGAAUACGUUCCCGGGUCUUGUACACACCGCCCGUCACACCAUGGGAGUGGGUUUUACCAGAAGUAGUUAGCCUUAACCGUGCGAGGGCGAUUACCACGGUAGGAUUCAUGACUGGGGUGAAGUCGUAACAAGGUAG